This 36-nucleotide non-coding RNA is filed under the name Mycobacterium tuberculosis. The record is from RNAcentral. Lineage: Bacteria; Bacillati; Actinomycetota; Actinomycetes; Mycobacteriales; Mycobacteriaceae.
UGGAUUGCGCUAACUGGCUUGGCGCUGAUCCUGGUG